UUUAAGCUAAUAUACAUGCACCAUGCAUAUCCAUGCAUUUGCAAUAUACAUACUUGAUGCAACAUUUCUUGUAAAGCUAUAGCUUCUCAAAGUGAGGGCCAAAGUUUACACUUCUAAAUCUUUAUUGCCUAACACAGUGCCUGACCCAUAAUAGCCACUUGAGAGAUGAAGUUUUUAAAAUACAGUUUGUCAAAUGGAUGCUGCUGGACUAUUAUUUGUAAAGUUUUUAUUUAAAAUACCCAUUCUAUUUUUUUAUUUUUAAGGAGGAAUAUAUAUAUAUAAAUAUAUAUACAUAUAUGUGUGUGUAUAUAUAUAUGUGUGUGUGUGUGUGUGUGUGUGUAAUCACAACAUUCUAAAGCAUCCUUUCACAAAUCUUCCCCCAGAAGAGUACCAUUAACUUGAUGAACAUAAUCAAAAGUAAUCCUCAGAUGUUAAUGUGAGAGUAUCAUCAAAGGCAGUAUCUACUGAAAAUCCCCAUGAAAUUUAAGACAACUUACUGAGAUUUGUUAUUUAGCAAUUAACUAUCAAUGGUAACCAAUCAACUCAAUUAGUUGUGGGGACAAACAAGAAACAUAUUUCCUUAAAUGAGAUUUUGCCAGGUAAAAUUCUAACAAGGGUCAAGACUAAAAUUACUUUCUUUCUUGAUAAAAAUAUGGUUUGGAUGUUUGUUCUCUACAAAUCUCAUGUGGAAAUGUGAACCCCAGUGUUGGAUAUGGGGCCUGGUAGGAGACUAUUGGAUCAUAAGGCAAAUGUCUCAUGAAUGCUUUAGCACCAUCCUCCUAAUGGUAAGUGAGUUCUCGCUCAGCUACUUCACAAAAUAUCUGGUUGUUGUAAAGAUUCUGGGACUUCCUCCUUCUGUAUCUUGCUCCAUUUCUCAUCAUGUGGCGUGCUGCUCCUGCUUCACCUUCUUCUAUGAGUGAAAGCUCCCUGAGGCCUCACCAGAAGCCAAGCAGAUAUCAGCACCAUGCUUCCUGUAUAGCCUGCAGAACCAUGAGCCAAUUAAACUCUUUUCCUUCAUAUAUUACCCAGCCUCAGGUAUUCCUUUAUAGCAACACAAAAUGGACUAAUACAACAAGUUAGCAAUUAUUCGUAAUUGUCUUAACAUCUUUAAGCCCUCACUGAACCCAAUUUGGAAAGUUUAUUGUAAUUUUUUGCAUAAUGUCUUAAUACUUAAUCCAAGGUAGAAAAAUAAAAGGAUG
This 1199-nucleotide long non-coding RNA is filed under the name Homo sapiens (human). Its description in RNAcentral is "long non-coding RNA NONHSAT249650". The record is from RNAcentral. Lineage: Eukaryota; Metazoa; Chordata; Mammalia; Primates; Hominidae.